GCCGCGGUAGCCCAACCCGGCAGAGGCAGCCGAUCACAUUCAGAUUCUCGCUCGAAGCUCAGCAUUGACCGUCGAGAGCCACAUCGACCGAGGGCAGGCCAUGAUUGUUGAGAUGCCGGUUCGAAUCCGGCCCGCGGCU
Molecule: transfer RNA, 139 nt
Filed under: Nonomuraea wenchangensis
Lineage: Bacteria; Bacillati; Actinomycetota; Actinomycetes; Streptosporangiales; Streptosporangiaceae
Description: tRNA_Gly_CCC
Rfam family: tRNA
About the family: Transfer RNA (tRNA) molecules are approximately 80 nucleotides in length. Their secondary structure includes four short double-helical elements and three loops (D, anti-codon, and T loops).
Source: RNAcentral